GAUGAACGCUGGCGGCGUGCUUAACACAUGCAAGUCGAACGAUGAAGCCCAGCUUGCUGGGUGGAUUAGUGGCGAACGGGUGAGUAACACGUGAGUAACCUGCCCUUAACUCUGGGAUAAGCCCGGGAAACUGGGUCUAAUACCGGAUAGGAGCGCCUGUCGCAUGACGGGUGUUGGAAAGAUUUUUCGGUCAUGGAUGGACUCGCGGCCUAUCAGCUUGUUGGUGAGGUAAUGGCUCACCAAGGCGACGACGGGUAGCCGGCCUGAGAGGGUGACCGGCCACACUGGGACUGAGACACGGCCCAGACUCCUACGGGAGGCAGCAGUGGGGAAUAUUGCACAAUGGGCGGAAGCCUGAUGCAGCGACGCCGCGUGAGGGAUGACGGCCUUCGGGUUGUAAACCUCUUUCAGUAGGGAAGAAGCGAAAGUGACGGUACCUGC
Molecule: ribosomal RNA, 441 nt
Filed under: Micrococcus sp. oral taxon F54
Lineage: Bacteria; Bacillati; Actinomycetota; Actinomycetes; Micrococcales; Micrococcaceae
Description: bacterial SSU rRNA
Rfam family: Bacterial small subunit ribosomal RNA
Source: RNAcentral